Phacochoerus africanus (Common warthog) is the source of this 353-nucleotide long non-coding RNA. RefSeq lists it as uncharacterized. NCBI's taxonomy places the organism in Eukaryota, Metazoa, Chordata, Mammalia, Artiodactyla, Suidae. The transcript has 2 exons. The record is from RefSeq and is a predicted model, not a curated record.
UCGCUUAGCUCCGCGAUCACCCUUUGAGGUUCGCUGCGGGCAGGAGUCGGCGGGAGGAGGCCAGCCUGCUCCCAGGACUCCGAUGGUUUAAAACUGGCAGUGAGGUCCCAAAGGACUGCGUUACCAAACCUCAUACAACUUGCGGAAGACUCAUUACUUCCCUGGCACGGUCGAACAAAUGGAGGCUGGGAGAGAAGGUCCCAGAGCUUAGAAGCCGUGGUGACGCCAAACGGUGCAAGGCAGAGGGGUGGUUAUUAACCCCAUUAUCACCAGCACCAACCCCCCCCAACGUAAGAUAUAAUUACAGUUUCUCAACUUUAUGUCGGAAGCAAAUAAAGGCAUUUUAACAAUCA